UACGGGGGGAGCAAGCGUUGUUCGGAUUUGCUGGGCGUAAAGGGCGCGUAGGCGGCCAGCGCAAGUCAGUUGUGAAAUCUCCGGGCUUAACUCGGAAAGGUCAACUGAUACUGCGCGGCUAGAGUGCAGAAGGGGCAACUGGAAUUCUCGGUGUAGCGGUGAAAUGCGUAGAUAUCGAGAGGAACACCUGCGGCGAAGGCGGGUUGCUGGGCUGACACUGACGCUGAUGCGCGAAAGCCAGGGGAGCGAACGGG
This 254-nucleotide ribosomal RNA is filed under the name uncultured bacterium. RNAcentral describes it as "partial 16S ribosomal RNA". It matches the Rfam family "Bacterial small subunit ribosomal RNA", at positions 524 to 776 of the family's 1533-position model. The record is from RNAcentral.